Molecule: non-coding RNA, 842 nt
Organism: Arachis ipaensis
Lineage: Eukaryota; Viridiplantae; Streptophyta; Magnoliopsida; Fabales; Fabaceae
Source: RefSeq, a predicted model, not a curated record
UUCGUGGCCGAGACAUGGGUAAGAGUGGCUGAUGUAUUGGCCUCUUAAAUUACCACAUCGAUAUCCAACAAAAGCUCGGUUGUAGUUGAAAUUAGUGUGUGUGAGAGAGUGGAGAUGUGUGUGAGUAUAUGACCGAAAAAAAAAAAAGAAAUAAUAAACUAUUCUAAAUUAACACUUAAGCUAUUAUGAGAAUUUUUCCUUUUUUUGUUUAUAUAUAUUGGUAACUAACCAGUCUCUGUAUAAGGAUCAAGCUAGAAACAUGGGUAGAAAUAUUGUGAGAAAUGCAUUAUCAACAAUGUUAAUGAUAGGAGCGAUUUUUUAUUAUGGCAUUGCUGAAUUCCCGGAUAAAUCUAAUUAUAUUUCAUAUGAUGAUGAAACAAAACUAGAAAAGUGUCUGGACUCAUGUCAGAGAAAGCACAGAGGUGACAUCUGGGAGAUGUUGGCAUGUAUGGGGAAGUGCUAUGCUAACUAUAAACGAUCUUGAAUUUUAAUGAACUAAGAAUGUCAGAGCUAAUAAAAUUCUAUAGAUAGUAGUAAGGAAGAAAAUUGUUGCCAAUGAGAUUGUUGAGGGCAAGAAUGAAAAUAAUGAGGAAUUAACUAAUGAGAAAAAAUCAGUUGAAGACAAGAGACACGUGGCAGUUGAUCCAAGCAAUUCAGGUGCAAGGAAAAGCAACAGAGAGAAAAUGUUAAAUAGGAGGCUGCAAGACUAUGCUUGACAACGAAUUACUGGUUCUCAUGCAUGAUGAUAGGUCCCUUAAUUCUUUUUAUUCCUCACAUAACCUUUAUAUUUUACUAUUACAUUGCUUUCUUUUCCUGCAAGUUAUAAAUUACAGCAUUUUAUU